GACGAACGCUGGCGGCGUGCUUAACACAUGCAAGUCGAACGGAAAGGCCCUGCUUUUGUGGGGUGCUCGAGUGGCGAACGGGUGAGUAACACGUGAGUAACCUGCCCUUGACUUUGGGAUAACUUCAGGAAACUGGGGCUAAUACCGGAUAGGAGCUCCUGCUGCAUGGUGGGGGUUGGAAAGUUUCGGCGGUUGGGGAUGGACUCGCGGCUUAUCAGCUUGUUGGUGGGGUAGUGGCUUACCAAGGCUUUGGCGGGUAGCCGGCCUGAGAGGGUGACCGGCCACAUUGGGACUGAGAGACGGCCCAGACUGCUACGGGAGGCAGCAGUGGGGAAUAUUGCACAAUGGGCGGAAGCCUGAUGCAGCAACGCCGCGUGCGGGAUGACGGCCUUCGGGUUGUAAACCGCUUUCGCCUGUGACGAAGCGUGAGUGACGGUAAUGGGUAAAGAAGCACCGGCUAACUACGUG
Molecule: ribosomal RNA, 468 nt
Filed under: uncultured bacterium
Lineage: Bacteria
Description: partial 16S ribosomal RNA
Rfam family: Bacterial small subunit ribosomal RNA
Source: RNAcentral